RNAcentral lists this ribosomal RNA (253 nucleotides) under uncultured bacterium. Its description in RNAcentral is "partial 16S ribosomal RNA". It matches the Rfam family "Bacterial small subunit ribosomal RNA", at positions 524 to 776 of the family's 1533-position model. The record is from RNAcentral.
UACGGAGGGUGCGAGCGUUGUCCGGAAUCACUGGGCGUAAAGGGCGCGUAGGCGGCCCGGCAAGUCAACGGUGAAAGCUUGGGGCUCAACCCCGAGUCGGCCGUCGAUACUUCCGGGCUGGAGCACUGUAGAGGCAGGUGGAAUUCCGGGUGUAGCGGUGGAAUGCGUAGAUAUCGGGAGGAACACCAGUGGCGAAGGCGGCUUCCUGGACCGGUUCUGACACUGAGGAGCGAAAGCGUGGGGAGCGAUCCGG